Molecule: ribosomal RNA, 497 nt
Filed under: uncultured bacterium
Lineage: Bacteria
Description: partial 16S ribosomal RNA
Rfam family: Bacterial small subunit ribosomal RNA
Source: RNAcentral
GAUGAACGCUGGCGGCGUGCCUAAUACAUGCAAGUCGAGCGAACGGACGAGAAGCUUGCUUCUCUGAUGUUAGCGGCGGACGGGUGAGUAACACGUGGAUAACCUACCUAUAAGACUGAGAUAACUUCGGGAAACCGGAGCUAAUACCGGAUAAUAUUUUGAACCGCAUGGUUCAAAAGUGAAAGACGGUCUUGCUGUCACUUAUAGAUGGAUCCGCGCUGCAUUAGCUAGUUGGUAAGGUAACGGCUUACCAAGGCAACGAUGCAUAGCCGACCUGAGAGGGUGAUCGGCCACACUGGAACUGAGACACGGUCCAGACUCCUACGGGAGGCAGCAGUAGGGAAUCUUCCGCAAUCGGCGAAAGCCUGACGGAGCAACGCCGCGUGAGUGAUGAAGGUCUUCGGAUCGUAAAACUCUGUUAUUAGGGAAGAACAUAUGUGUAAGUAACUGUGCACAUCUUGACGGUACCUAAUCAGAAAGCCACGGCUAACUACGUG